RNAcentral lists this ribosomal RNA (468 nucleotides) under uncultured bacterium. Its description in RNAcentral is "partial 16S ribosomal RNA". It matches the Rfam family "Bacterial small subunit ribosomal RNA", at positions 28 to 507 of the family's 1533-position model. The record is from RNAcentral.
GACGAACGCUGGCGGCGUGCUUAACACAUGCAAGUCGAACGGAAAGGCCCUGCUUUUGUGGGGUGCUCGAGUGGCGAACGGGUGAGUAACACGUGAGUAACCUGCCCUUGACUUUGGGAUAACUUCAGGAAAUUGGGGCUAAUACCGGAUAGGAGCUCCUGCUGCAUGGUGGGGGUUGGAAAGUUUCGGCGGUUGGGGAUGGACUCGCGGCUUAUCAGCUUGUUGGUGGGGUAGUGGCUUACCAAGGCUUUGACGGGUAGCCGGCCUGAGAGGGUGACCGGCCACAUUGGGACUGAGAUACGGCCCAGACUCCUACGGGAGGCAGCAGUGGGGAAUAUUGCACAAUGGGCGGAAGCCUGAUGCAGCAACGCCGCGUGCGGGAUGACGGCCUUCGGGUUGUAAACCGCUUUCGCCUGUGACGAAGCGUGAGUGACGGCAAUGGGUAAAGAAGCACCGGCUAACUACGUG